Molecule: ribosomal RNA, 511 nt
Filed under: uncultured microorganism
Description: bacterial SSU rRNA
Rfam family: Bacterial small subunit ribosomal RNA
Source: RNAcentral
GAGUUUGAUCGUGGCUCAGGAUGAACGCUGGCGGCGUGCCUAACACAUGCAAGUCGAACGGGCGCGGCGUGCGGCAGGGGCCUCGGCCCCUGCGGCGCCGCGCGAGUGGCGGACGGGUGAGUAACGCGUGGGCAACCUGCCCUGUACUGGGGGAUAACACCUGGAAACAGGUGCUAAUACCGCAUAAGCGCGCUGUGCCGCAUGGCACGGCGCGGAAAACCCCGGUGGUACAGGAUGGGCCCGCGUCUGAUUAGCUGGUUGGCAGGGUAACGGCCUACCAAGGCGACGAUCAGUAGCCGGCCUGAGAGGGUGGACGGCCACACUGGGACUGAGACACGGCCCAGACUCCUACGGGAGGCAGCAGUGGGGGAUAUUGCACAAUGGGGGGAACCCUGAUGCAGCGACGCCGCGUGGGUGAAGAAGCGCCUCGGCGCGUAAAGCCCUGUCAGCAGGGAGAAAAUGACGGUACCUGAAGAAGAAGCCCGGCUAACUACGUGCCAGCAGCCGCGGU